Molecule: ribosomal RNA, 301 nt
Filed under: uncultured bacterium
Lineage: Bacteria
Description: partial 16S ribosomal RNA
Rfam family: Bacterial small subunit ribosomal RNA
Source: RNAcentral
CAGCAGCCGCGGUAAAACGAAGGGUGCAAGCGUUAAUCGGAAUUACUGGGCGUAAAGCGUGCGUAGGCGGUUUGUUAAGUCUGUUGUGAAAUCCCCGGGCUCAACCUGGGAAUGGCAAUGGAUACUGGCAAGCUAGAGUGUGUCAGAGGAUGGUGGAAUUCCCGGUGUAGCGGUGAAAUGCGUAGAGAUCGGGAGGAACAUCAGUGGCGAAGGCGGCCAUCUGGGACAACACUGACGCUGAGGCACGAAAGCGUAGGGAGCAAACAGGAUUAGAUACCCCAGUAGUCCCUGUCUCUUAUAC